Molecule: ribosomal RNA, 253 nt
Filed under: uncultured bacterium
Lineage: Bacteria
Description: partial 16S ribosomal RNA
Rfam family: Bacterial small subunit ribosomal RNA
Source: RNAcentral
AACGUAGGUGGCGAGCGUUAUCCGGAUUUACUGGGCGUAAAGGGUGUGCAGGCGGGCUGUUAAGUGGUGUAUGAAAUCGUCCGGCUCAACCGGGCGAGGUUAUGCCAGACUGGCAGUCUAGAGAGCGAGAGAGGGACGUGGAAUUCCGGGUGUAGUGGUGAAAUGCGUAGAGAUCCGGAGGAACCCCAGAGGCGAAGGCGGCGUCCUGGCUCGCAUCUGACGCUCAGACACGACAGCAUGGGGAGCGAACGGG